RNAcentral lists this ribosomal RNA (494 nucleotides) under uncultured bacterium. RNAcentral describes it as "partial 16S ribosomal RNA". It matches the Rfam family "Bacterial small subunit ribosomal RNA", at positions 28 to 507 of the family's 1533-position model. The record is from RNAcentral.
GACGAACGCUGGCGGCGUGCUUAACACAUGCAAGUCGAACGGUGAAGCGCCUUCCUUUUUGGUGGGUGUGGAUGAGUGGCGAACGGGUGAGUAACACGUGAGUAACCUGCCCCCUUCUUCUGGAUAACCGCAUGAAAGUGUGGCUAAUACGGGAUAUUCUGGGUCUGUCGCAUGAUGGGUCUGGGAAAGAUAUUGUUUCGGUGGGGGAUGGGCUCGCGGCCUAUCAGCUUGUUGGUGGGGUGAUGGCCUACCAAGGCGGUGACGGGUAGCCGGCCUGAGAGGGUGGACGGUCACACUGGGACUGAGACACGGCCCAGACUCCUACGGGAGGCAGCAGUGGGGAAUAUUGCACAGUGGGCGCAAGCCUGAUGCAGCGACGCCGCGUGAGGGAUGGAGGCCUUCGGGUUGUGAACCUCUUUCGCCAGUGAAGCAGGCCUGCCUCGUUUGUGGGUGGAUUGACGGUAGCUGGAGAAGAAGCGCCGGCUAACUACGUG